Molecule: ribosomal RNA, 468 nt
Filed under: uncultured bacterium
Lineage: Bacteria
Description: partial 16S ribosomal RNA
Rfam family: Bacterial small subunit ribosomal RNA
Source: RNAcentral
GACGAACGCUGGCGGCGUGCUUAACACAUGCAAGUCGAACGGAAAGGCCCUGCUUUUGUGGGGUGCUCGAGUGGCGAACGGGUGGGUAACACGUGAGUAACCUGCCCUUGACUUUGGGAUAACUUCAGGAAACUGGGGCUAAUACCGGAUAGGAGCUCCUGCUGCAUGGUGGGGGUUGGAAAGUUUCGGCGGUUGGGGAUGGACUCGCGGCUUAUCAGCUUGUUGGUGGGGUAGUGGCUUACCAAGGCUUUGACGGGUAGCCGGCCUGAGAGGGUGACCGGCCACAUUGGGACUGCGAUACGGCCCAGACUCCUACGGGAGGCAGCAGUGGGGAAUAUUGCACAAUGGGCGGAAGCCUGAUGCAGCAACGCCGCGUGCGGGAUGCCGGCCUUCGGGUUGUAAACCGCUUUCGCCUGUGACGAAGCGUGAGUGACGGUAAUGGGUAAAGAAGCACCGGCUAACUACGUG